UUAGUAUGCUUUCUGUAGUUUAGAUUGUACGUCAAGUAUGAUGUGUUUGUUUACUUCUUAAUUUCUUGAUCAAUCUUUCUAUACUUACACUGUGGCUAAGUUAAGAAAUUUCAGACAAAAUAACUGCAUGUAUUCCAAUUCAGCGAAGUUAGAACUGACAGACAAAAUAACUGCUUUCUAUAGUUUAGAUUGCAUGUACGUCAAGUAUGAUGUGUUUGUUUACUCCUUAAUUUCUUGUUCAAUCUUACUAUACUUACACUGUGGCCAAGUUGAGACAUUUCAGACACGAUAACUGCAUGUACUCCAAUUCAGCGAAGUUAUAAUCGCAAAAUGAACCGAAGACUUUUCCAUAUUUUGCUGUUUGUAACCCUGAAGUGAUUUUUUUGGUAGGCAUCAGCUACUGAUGCAAGCUGCGACUCUCUGGUUACAACUCCUCAGCAUUCAGAGAUGCUAAUAAUCCUGAUGGACUCCUCUCCAUAGCGGAGGAGACCUUGGCAGAGUUCCUUUCUAAGGCUACAGGAACUGCUGUCGAUUGGGUCCAGAUGCCUAGAAUGAAGCCUGGUCAGGAUUCGGUUGGGAUAUAUCUUUGCUAUUUCAUAAAGUUGCAGUGGAGUGGAAGCUCGAGCCAGUGGUCUCGUAAGUUUAGAGCCUACGACCGCAAGUAUUGCGGAGAUCCUUAAAGAUCGUCCAUCUUGGUUCCGGAACUGUCGGAGCCUCGAAGUUUUUACAUGUUUGCUGCUGGAAAUGGAGGGACUAUAGAACUCAUAUAUACACAGGUGCACAAAAAUCGUUGAAUGUUUUCUGGAAUAAAUAAAUAACAUUUUAACUUCUCCAGACAUAUGCUCCGACUACACUGGCUCCUGCAAGGGAUUUUUGGACCCUAAGAUACACUACUAGUUUAGACAAUGGCAGUUUUGUGGUAUGUGAGAGAUCUCUUUCUGGUUCUGGCGCUGGCCCCAAUGGAGCUUCUGCUGCCCAGUUUGUUAGAGCAGAAAUGCUUCCUAGCGGUGAUGGAAGCAAUUGCGAUGGCAUUGGUUGUUGGCUAGGAAUUCAUCUAGACAUUUCUUAGGUUGGAGAUCUAUUCCUUGUGUUUCAAGUUCUGCUUAAUUUACAAGUUGAGGCUUCAGCAGUGAUUGUGGAUUUGGCUUUUGCCAAGGAUCAGAAUUUUCAGGAGGUUCUUAUAGAGACUGAUUCCAGCUCUGUUUAUACUGCUGCUGUGGAUUUGACUCAUAUAUACCCCCUCAUCGGAAAUUCUACCCUCUUGUUCAAAGAAUUAGAAGUCUGAGCAAAGGUUUCAGGUAAUUAAUGUAAUUUGGAGCUAGAUCAAAAGGAGUGCUAACAGUCGGUAAAUAUAUGGUUUAAUUGCUAUAUUAAUAGAAAAAUCAAGAAAUCAUUUAUGAGUCAAACAGAACAAACACAAAGGGAAAGUUUGGGAAUUUCUGAUGUAUUGAUAUUCUCCAAAGAUGGAGUACAUAUACAAAGUAUACACAUUCCUAAUAGGAAACUAAUUACACCGUGAUAUUCUCCCCCUUAACUACAUAAUA
This is a long non-coding RNA of Rosa chinensis, 1544 nucleotides long. RefSeq lists it as uncharacterized. The record is from RefSeq and is a predicted model, not a curated record. The transcript has 5 exons. NCBI's taxonomy places the organism in Eukaryota, Viridiplantae, Streptophyta, Magnoliopsida, Rosales, Rosaceae.